GCUACCUGGACCAAUACUGACACUGAGGUGCGAAAGCGUGGGGAGCAAACAUUGAUUAGAUACCCUGGUAGUCCACGCCGUAAACGAUGUCUACUAGCCGUUGGGACUCUUGAAGUCUUAGUGGCGCAGCUAACGCACUAAGUAGACCGCCUGGGGAGUACGGCCGCAAGGUUAAAACUCAAAUGAAUUGACGGGGGCCCGCACAAGCGGUGGAGCAUGUGGUUUAAUUCGACGCAACGCGAAGAACCUUACCUGGCCUUGACAUGCAGAGAACUUUCCAGAGAUGGAUUGGUGCCUUCGGGAACUCUGACACAGGUGCUGCAUGGCCGUCGUCAGCUCGUGUCGUGAGAUGUUGGGUUAAGUCCCGUAACGAGCGCAACCCCUAUCCCUAGUUGCUAGCAGUUCGGCUGAGAACUCUAGGGAGACUGCCGGUGACAAACCGGAGGAAGGUGGGGAUGACGUCAGGUCAUCAUGGCCCUUACGGCCAGGGCUACACACGUGCUACAAUGGUGCGCACAGAGGGCUGCAAACCCGCGAGGGGGAGCCAAUCUCACAAAACGCAUCGUAGUCCGGAUCGCAGUCUGCAACUCGACUGCGUGAAGUCGGAAUCGCUAGUAAUCGUGAAUCAGAAUGUCACGGUGAAUACGUUCCCGGGCCUUGUACACACCGCCCGUCACACCAUGGGAGUGGAUUGCACCAGAAGUGGUUAGUCUAACCUUCGGGAGGACGAUCACCACGGUGUGGUUUCAUGACUGGGGUGAAGUCGUAACAAGGUA
RNAcentral lists this ribosomal RNA (776 nucleotides) under uncultured Marinobacter sp. Its description in RNAcentral is "bacterial SSU rRNA". It matches the Rfam family "Bacterial small subunit ribosomal RNA", at positions 724 to 1498 of the family's 1533-position model. Lineage: Bacteria; Pseudomonadati; Pseudomonadota; Gammaproteobacteria; Pseudomonadales; Marinobacteraceae. The record is from RNAcentral.